UGCCAGCAGCCGCGGUAAUACGGAGGAUCCAAGCGUUAUCCGGAAUCAUUGGGUUUAAAGGGUCCGCAGGCUGUUAGAUAAGUCAGAGGUGAAAGUUUGCAGCUCAACUGUAAAAUUGCCUUUGAUACUGUUUAACUUGAGUUAUUAUGAAGUGGUUAGAAUAUGUAGUGUAGCGGUGAAAUGCAUAGAUAUUACAUAGAAUACCGAUUGCGAAGGCAGAUCACUAAUAAUAUACUGACGCUGAGGGACGAAAGCGUGGGGAGCGAACAGGAUUAGAUA
RNAcentral lists this ribosomal RNA (279 nucleotides) under uncultured bacterium. RNAcentral's name for it is "partial 16S ribosomal RNA". It matches the Rfam family "Bacterial small subunit ribosomal RNA", at positions 506 to 784 of the family's 1533-position model. The record is from RNAcentral.